Molecule: ribosomal RNA, 382 nt
Filed under: uncultured eukaryote
Lineage: Eukaryota
Description: partial 18S ribosomal RNA
Rfam family: Eukaryotic small subunit ribosomal RNA
Source: RNAcentral
UGUAAGCGUAUACCAAAGUUGUUGCAGUUAAAACGCUCGUAGUCGGAAUUUGGCAGUUCCGGAUGUGUGCACGUCGUGUGCGCACUUCGCGGGGACUGCUUUUGUGGUCUUGCGUAGGAUGAGGCACUUUCAUUAGUGAACGUCCUCACGCAACCACUCUUUACUGUGAGAAAAUCAGAGUGCUCAAAGCAGGCAUUUGCCGUGAAUGUAUUAGCAUGGAAUAAUAGAAUAGGACUCGGUUCUAUUUUGUUGGUUUGUUGGGACUGAGUAAUGAUUAAGAGGGACAGUUGGGGGCAUUUGUAUUCCGGCGCUAGAGGUGAAAUUCUUAGAUUGCCGGAAGACAAACUGCUGCGAAAGCGUCUGCCAAGGAUGUUUUCAUUGA